GUGGGGAAUCUUGCGCAAUGGGCGAAAGCCUGACGCAGCCAUGCCGCGUGAAUGAUGAAGGUCUUAGGAUUGUAAAAUUCUUUCACCGGGGACGAUAAUGACGGUACCCGGAGAAGAAGCCCCGGCUAACUUCGUGCCAGCAGCCGCGGUAAUACGGAGGGGGCUAGCGUUGCUCGGAAUUACUGGGCGUAAAGGGCGCGUAGGCGGAUCGUUAAGUCAGGGGUGAAAUCCCAGAGCUCAACUCUGGAACUGCCCUUGAUACUGGCGAUCUUGAGUGUGAGAGAGGUAUGUGGAACUCCGAGUGUAGAGGUGAAAUUCGUAGAUAUUCGGAAGAACACCAGUGGCGAAGGCGACAUACUGGCUCAUUACUGACGCUGAGGCGCGAAAGCGUGGGGAGCAAACAGGAUUAGAAACCCUGGUAGUCC
RNAcentral lists this ribosomal RNA (425 nucleotides) under uncultured bacterium. RNAcentral describes it as "partial 16S ribosomal RNA". It matches the Rfam family "Bacterial small subunit ribosomal RNA", at positions 354 to 796 of the family's 1533-position model. The record is from RNAcentral.